RNAcentral lists this ribosomal RNA (253 nucleotides) under uncultured bacterium. Its description in RNAcentral is "partial 16S ribosomal RNA". It matches the Rfam family "Bacterial small subunit ribosomal RNA", at positions 524 to 776 of the family's 1533-position model. The record is from RNAcentral.
UACGUAGGGGGCAAGCGUUGUCCGGAAUCAUUGGGCGUAAAGAGCGCGUAGGCGGUCCGGUAAGUCCGCUCUGAAAGUCCGGGGCUCAACCCCGGGAGGCGGGCGGAUACUGUCGGGCUAGAGUCCGGAAGAGGCGAGUGGAAUUCCUGGUGUAGCGGUGAAAUGCGCAGAUAUCAGGAGGAACACCGGUGGCGAAGGCGGGUCUCUGGGCCGAUACUGACGCUGAGGAGCGAAAGCGUGGGGAGCAAACAGG